AAUGAAUGAUGACGAUAAGUCUUGGCCCCAGAUGAAGAGCAGUGAUUACUGUGCUACGAGAUCUACUGACAUU
Small nucleolar RNA from Ictalurus furcatus (blue catfish), 73 nucleotides. RefSeq annotates it as small nucleolar RNA SNORD73. The record is from RefSeq and is a predicted model, not a curated record. NCBI's taxonomy places the organism in Eukaryota, Metazoa, Chordata, Actinopteri, Siluriformes, Ictaluridae. The transcript has a single exon.